GAUGAACGCUGGCGGCGUGCCUAAUACAUGCAAGUAGAACGCUGAAGGAAGGAGCUUGCUCUUUCCGGAUGAGUUGCGAACGGGUGAGUAACGCGUAGGUAACCUGCCUGGUAGCGGGGGAUAACUAUUGGAAACGAUAGCUAAUACCGCAUAACAGUAGAUGUUGCAUGAUAUCUACUUAAAAGGUGCAAUUGCACCACUACCAGAUGGACCUGCGUUGUAUUAGCUAGUUGGUGAGGUAACGGCUCACCAAGGCGACGAUACAUAGCCGACCUGAGAGGGUGAUCGGCCACACUGGGACUGAGACACGGCCCAGACUCCUACGGGAGGCAGCAGUAGGGAAUCUUCGGCCAUGGACGGAAGUCUGACCGAGCAACGCCGCGUGAGUGAAGAAGGUUUUCGGAUCGUAAAGCUCUGUUGUAAGAGAAGAACGAGUGUGAGAGUGGAAAGUUCACACUGUGACGGUAUCUUACCAGAAAGGGACGGCUAACUACGUG
Molecule: ribosomal RNA, 497 nt
Filed under: uncultured bacterium
Lineage: Bacteria
Description: partial 16S ribosomal RNA
Rfam family: Bacterial small subunit ribosomal RNA
Source: RNAcentral